UGGGGAAUAUUGGACAAUGGGCGAAAGCCUGAUCCAGCAAUGCCGCGUGAGUGAUGAAGGCCUUAGGGUUGUAAAGCUCUUUUACCAGGGAUGAUAAUGACAGUACCUGGAGAAUAAGCUCCGGCUAACUCCGUGCCAGCAGCCGCGGUAAUAUC
Molecule: ribosomal RNA, 155 nt
Filed under: uncultured soil bacterium
Lineage: Bacteria
Description: partial 16S ribosomal RNA
Rfam family: Bacterial small subunit ribosomal RNA
Source: RNAcentral